This 250-nucleotide ribosomal RNA is filed under the name uncultured bacterium. RNAcentral describes it as "partial 16S ribosomal RNA". It matches the Rfam family "Bacterial small subunit ribosomal RNA", at positions 524 to 774 of the family's 1533-position model. The record is from RNAcentral.
UACGUAGGUGGCAAGCGUUGUCCGGAAUUAUUGGGCGUAAAGGGCGCGCAGGCGGAAUGCCAAGUCUUUCUUAAAAGUGCUGGGCUUAACCCAGUGAGGGGAAGGAAACUGGUAUUCUUGAGUACAGGAGAGGAAAGUGGAAUUCCCAGUGUAGCGGUGAAAUGCGUAGAUAUUGGGAGGAACACCAGUGGCGAAGGCGACUUUCUGGACUGUGUCUGACGCUGAGGCGCGAAAGCCAGGGGAGUGAACG